AGCUCCAAUAGCGUAUAUUAAAGUUGUUGCGGUUAAAAAGCUCGUAGUUGGAUUUCUGCCGAGGACGACCGGUCCGCCCUCUGGGUGAGUAUCUGGCUCGGCCUGGGCAUCUUCUUGGAGAACGUUACUGCACUUGACUGUGUGGUGCGGUAUCCAGGACUUUUACUUUGAGGAAAUUAGAGUGUUUCAAGCAGGCUUACGCCUUGAAUACAUUAGCAUGGAAUAAUAAGAUAGGACCUCGGUUCUAUUUUGUUGGUUUCUAGAGCUGAGGUAAUGAUUAAUAGGGAUAGUUGGGGGCAUUCGUAUUUAACUGUCAGAGGUGAAAUUCUUGGAUUUGUUAAAGACGAACUACUGCGAAAGCAUUUGCCAAGGAUGUUUUCAUUG
RNAcentral lists this ribosomal RNA (384 nucleotides) under Dinophyceae sp. RNAcentral describes it as "SSU rRNA". It matches the Rfam family "Eukaryotic small subunit ribosomal RNA", at positions 587 to 975 of the family's 1831-position model. Lineage: Eukaryota; Dinophyceae. The record is from RNAcentral. RNAcentral also lists the same sequence under 1 other name.